AAUAGACGCUGGCGGCGUGCCUAACACAUGCAAGUCGAGCGAGAAAGUUCCUUCGGGAGCGAGUACAGCGGCGGACGGGUGAGUAACGCGUGAGAAUCUGCCCUUAAGUGAAGAAUACCCUCGAGAAAUCGAGGUUAAUACUGCAUACGUCCUACGGGAGAAAGAUGGCCUCUUUGCUGUCGCUGAAGGAUGAGCUCACGUACUAUCAGCUAGUUGGUAGGGUAAAGGCCUACCAAGGCUAUGACGGUUAGCCGGCCUGAGAGGGUGUACGGCCACACUGGAACUUAGACACGGUCCAGACUCCUACGGGAGGCAGCAGUGGGGAAUAUUGCGCAAUGGGCGAAAGCCUGACGCAGCGACGCCGCGUGGGGGAUGAAGGUCUUAGGAUCGUAAACCCCUGUUAAGUGGAAAGAAAAGCUUUGCGAAGAAUAUGCGCAGAGUAUGACGGUACCAUUAGAGAAAGCACCGGCUAACUUCGUGCCAGCCGCCGCGGUAA
RNAcentral lists this ribosomal RNA (496 nucleotides) under uncultured bacterium. RNAcentral's name for it is "partial 16S ribosomal RNA". It matches the Rfam family "Bacterial small subunit ribosomal RNA", at positions 29 to 523 of the family's 1533-position model. The record is from RNAcentral.